This 454-nucleotide ribosomal RNA is filed under the name uncultured Prevotellaceae bacterium. Its description in RNAcentral is "partial 16S ribosomal RNA". It matches the Rfam family "Bacterial small subunit ribosomal RNA", at positions 341 to 792 of the family's 1533-position model. The record is from RNAcentral. Lineage: Bacteria; Pseudomonadati; Bacteroidota; Bacteroidia; Bacteroidales; Prevotellaceae.
ACGGGAGGCAGCAGUGAGGAAUAUUGGUCAAUGGGCGUAAGCCUGAACCAGCCAAGUAGCGUGAAGGAUGACGGCCCUACGGGUUGUAAACUUCUUUUGCCGGGGGAUAAAACGCGCCACGUGUGGCGCCUUGCAGGUACCCGUGCGAAUAAGGACCGGCUAAUUCCGUGCCAGCAGCCGCGGUAAUACGGAAGGUCCGAGCGUUAUCCGGAUUUAUUGGGUUUAAAGGGAGCGUAGGUGGAAAUGUAAGUCAGCCGUCAAAUCGCGGAUCUCAACUCCGUCCAGCGGUUGAAACUGCGUUUCUUGAGUGCGCAAGAGGCAGGUGGAAUUCGAGGUGUAGCGGUGAAAUGCUUAGAUAUCUCGAAGAACUCCGAUUGCGAAGGCAGCUUGCUGGGGCGCAACUGACGCUGAGGCUCGAAGGUGCGGGUAUCAAACAGGAUUAGAUACCCUGGUA